GAUGAACGCUGGCGGCGUGCCUAAUACAUGCAAGUCGAGCGAACAGACGAGGAGCUUGCUCCUUCGACGUUAGCGGCGGACGGGUGAGUAACACGUAGGUAACCUACCUAUAAGACUGGGAUAACUUCGGGAAACCGGAGCUAAUACCGGAUAAUAUUUCGAACCGCAUGGUUCGAUAGUGAAAGAUGGCUUUGCUAUCACUUAUAGAUGGACCUGCGCCGUAUUAGCUAGUUGGUAAGGUAACGGCUUACCAAGGCAACGAUACGUAGCCGACCUGAGAGGGUGAUCGGCCACACUGGAACUGAGACACGGUCCAGACUCCUACGGGAGGCAGCAGUAGGGAAUCUUCCGCAAUGGGCGAAAGCCUGACGGAGCAACGCCGCGUAAGUGAUGAAGGUCUUCGGAUCGUAAAACUCUGUUAUUAGGGAAGAACAAAUGUGUAAGUAACUGUGCACGUCUUGACGGUACCUAAUCAGAAAGCCACGGCUAACUACGUG
This 497-nucleotide ribosomal RNA is filed under the name uncultured bacterium. RNAcentral describes it as "partial 16S ribosomal RNA". It matches the Rfam family "Bacterial small subunit ribosomal RNA", at positions 28 to 507 of the family's 1533-position model. The record is from RNAcentral.